Molecule: ribosomal RNA, 253 nt
Filed under: uncultured bacterium
Lineage: Bacteria
Description: partial 16S ribosomal RNA
Rfam family: Bacterial small subunit ribosomal RNA
Source: RNAcentral
GACAGAGGGUGCAGACGUUGUUCGGAAUUACUGGGCAUAAAGCGCACGUAGGUGGUCCGCUAAGUCGCGUGUGAAAUCCCCCGGCUCAACCGGGGAAAUGCGCGUGAUACUGGCGGGCUUGAGAUCGGGAGGGGUGAAUGGAACUCCAGGUGGAGCGGUGAAAUGCGUAGAUAUCUGGAGGAACACCGGUGGCGAAAGCGGUUCACUGGCCCGACACUGACACUGAGGUGCGAAAGCUAGGGUAGCAAACGGG